Molecule: ribosomal RNA, 251 nt
Filed under: uncultured microorganism
Description: partial small subunit ribosomal RNA
Rfam family: Bacterial small subunit ribosomal RNA
Source: RNAcentral
UACGGGGGGCAAGCGUUGUUCGGAAUUACUGGGCGUAAAGGGCGCGUAGGCGGGCGGGCAAGUCUCUCGUGAAAGCCCACGGCUCAACCGUGGAAUUGCGGGAGAUACUGCUCGUCUUGAGUCCGGGAGAGGAGGGUGGAAUUCCCAGUGUAGCGGUGAAAUGCGUAGAUAUUGGGAGGAACACCGGUGGCGAAGGCGGCUCUCUGGACCGGUACUGACGCUGAGGCGCGAAAGCUAGGGGAGCAAACGGG